CAAUAGCGUAUAUUAAAGUUGUUGCGGUUAAAAGCUCGUAGUUGGAUUUCUGCCGAGGACGACCGGUCCGCCCUCUGGGUGAGUAUCUGGCUCGGCCUGGGCAUCUUCUUGGAGAACGUAGCUGCACUUGACUGUGUGGUGCGGUAUCCAGGACUUUUACUUUGAGGAAAUUAGAGUGUUUCAAGCAGGCAUACGCCUUGAAUACAUUAGCAUGGAAUAAUAAGAUAGGACCUCGGUUCUAUUUUGUUGGUUUCUAGAGCUGAGGUAAUGAUUAAUAGGGACAAUUGGGGGCAUUCGUAUUGCGGUGUCAGAGGUGGAAUUCUUGGAUUACUGCACGACGAACUACUGCGAAAGCAUUUGCCAAGGAUGUUUUCAUUGAUCAAGAACGAAAGUAAGGGGAUCGAAGACGAUCAGAUACCAU
RNAcentral lists this ribosomal RNA (421 nucleotides) under uncultured eukaryote. RNAcentral's name for it is "SSU rRNA". It matches the Rfam family "Eukaryotic small subunit ribosomal RNA", at positions 592 to 1018 of the family's 1831-position model. The record is from RNAcentral.